This 197-nucleotide ribosomal RNA is filed under the name uncultured bacterium. Its description in RNAcentral is "partial 16S ribosomal RNA". It matches the Rfam family "Bacterial small subunit ribosomal RNA", at positions 335 to 524 of the family's 1533-position model. The record is from RNAcentral.
ACUCCUACGGGAGGCAGCAGUGGGGAAUUUUGGACAAUGGGCGCAAGCCUGAUCCAGCCAUGCCGCGUGCGGGAAGAAGGCCUUCGGGUUGUAAACCGCUUUUGUCAGGGAAGAAACGCUCUGGGCUAAUACCCUGGGGUAAUGACGGUACCUGAAGAAUAAGCACCGGCUAACUACGUGCCAGCAGCCGCGGUAAU